This is a non-coding RNA of Podarcis lilfordi (Lilford's wall lizard), 72 nucleotides long. The record is from the annotation of a GenBank genome assembly. Lineage: Eukaryota; Metazoa; Chordata; Lepidosauria; Squamata; Lacertidae.
AGGGCUGUAGCUCAGGGGGACAGCCUCUGCUUCCCAGGCAGAAGGUAUUGGGUUCAAUCCCCAGCAUCCCCA